UAAAUGAAUAUUUUGCUUUUUGUAUUGGUACAGAUAUUAUACGGUGAAAGUGGCAAUUGGAAAUCCACCUCAAUUAUACGACCUUGACAUUGACUCUGGUAGUGAUCUCACUUGGGUUCAGUCCAAAUCCUGUAAGACCUGCACACCUCGUUCACAAUAUUAUCCGUAUAACCCCAACAGUAACAUCCAAUGCAAAGAACCCCUGUGUGCUGCGCUAAAUAGAAACUGCGCUCCACCAACUGGGCCAUGUAAAUAUAAAA
Molecule: non-coding RNA, 260 nt
Organism: Arachis ipaensis
Lineage: Eukaryota; Viridiplantae; Streptophyta; Magnoliopsida; Fabales; Fabaceae
Source: RefSeq, a predicted model, not a curated record